GGGCGUAAAGCGCAUGCAGGCGGUUUGUUAAGUCAGAUGUGAAAGCCCGGGGCUCAACCUCGGAACCGCAUUUGAAACUGGCAGGCUAGAGUCUUGUAGAGGGGGGUAGAAUUUCAGGUGUAGCGGUGAAAUGCGUAGAGAUCUGAAGGAAUACCAGUGGCGAAGGCGGCCCCCUGGACAAAGACUGACGCUCAGAUGCGAAAGCGUGGGUAGCAAACAGGAUUAGAUACCCUGGUAGUCCACGCCGUAAACGCUGUCUACUUGGAGGUUGAGGUUUAGACUUUGGCUUUCGGCGCUAACGCAUUAAGUAGACCGCCUGGGGAGUACGGCCGCAAGGUUAAAACUCAAAUGAAUUGACGGGGGCCCGCACAAGCGGUGGAGCAUGUGGUUUAAUUCGAUGCAACGCGAAGAACCUUACCUACUCUUGACAUCCAGCGAAGCCUUUAGAGAUAGAGGCGUGCCUUCGGGAGCGCUGAGACAGGUGCUGCAUGGCUGUCGUCAGCUCGUGUUGUGAAAUGUUGGGUUAAGUCCCGCAACGAGCGCAACCCUUAUCCUUGUUUGCCAGCACGUAAUGGUGGGAACUCCAGGGAGACUGCCGGUGAUAAACCGGAGGAAGGUGGGGACGACGUCAAGUCAUCAUGGCCCUUACGAGUAGGGCUACACACGUGCUACAAUGGCAGAUACAGAGGGCAGCGAAGCUGCGAAGUGGAGCGAAUCCCUUAAAGUCUGUCGUAGUCCGGAUUGGAGUCUGCAACUCGACUCCAUGAAGUCGGAAUCGCUAGUAAUCGUGGAUCAGAAUGCCACGGUGAAUACGUUCCCGGGCCUUGUACACACCGCCCGU
This 841-nucleotide ribosomal RNA is filed under the name uncultured bacterium. RNAcentral describes it as "bacterial SSU rRNA". It matches the Rfam family "Bacterial small subunit ribosomal RNA", at positions 556 to 1397 of the family's 1533-position model. The record is from RNAcentral.